RNAcentral lists this ribosomal RNA (129 nucleotides) under uncultured bacterium. RNAcentral's name for it is "partial 16S ribosomal RNA". It matches the Rfam family "Bacterial small subunit ribosomal RNA", at positions 375 to 523 of the family's 1533-position model. The record is from RNAcentral.
GCGAAGCCUGACGCAGACAUGCCGCGUGAUGAUGAAGGUCUUAGGAUUGUAAAAUUCUUUCACCGGGGACGAUAAUGACGGUACCCGGAGAAGAAGCCCCGGCUAACUUCGUGCCAGCAGCCGCGGUAA